CCUACGGGAGGCAGCAGUGGGGAAUAUUGGACAAUGGGCGAAAGCCUGAUCCAGCCAUGCCGCGUGUGUGAAGAAGGCCUUCGGGUUGUAAAGCACUUUCAGUGGGGAAGAAAGCCUUGGGGCUAAUACCCUCGAGGAAGGACAUCACCCACAGAAGAAGCACCGGCUAACUCCGUGCCAGCAGCCGCGGUAAUACGGAGGGUGCGAGCGUUAAUCGGAAUUACUGGGCGUAAAGCGCGCGUAGGCGGUCUGAUAAGCCGGUUGUGAAAGCCCCGGGCUCAACCUGGGAACGGCAUCCGGAACUGUCAGGCUAGAGUGCGGGAGAGGAAGGUAGAAUUCCCGGUGUAGCGGUGAAAUGCGUAGAGAUCGGGAGGAAUACCAGUGGCGAAGGCGGCCUUCUGGACUGACACUGACGCUGAGGUGCGAAAGCGUGGGUAGCAAACAGGAUUAGAUACCCCGGUAGUC
Molecule: ribosomal RNA, 465 nt
Filed under: Vreelandella stevensii
Lineage: Bacteria; Pseudomonadati; Pseudomonadota; Gammaproteobacteria; Oceanospirillales; Halomonadaceae
Description: partial 16S ribosomal RNA
Rfam family: Bacterial small subunit ribosomal RNA
Source: RNAcentral